CCUACGGGUGGCAGCAGUGGGGAAUAUUGCACAAUGGGGGAAACCCUGAUGCAGCGACGCCGCGUGAGUGAAGAAGUACUUCGUUAUGUAAAGCUCUAUCAGCAGGGAAGAAAAUGACGGUACCUGAGUAAGAAGCCCCGGCCAACUACGUGCCAGCAGCCGCGGGAAUACGGAGGGGGCAAGCGUUAUCCGGAUUUACUGGGUGUAACGGGAGCGUAGACGGCAGGGCAAGUCUGGUGGGAAAGGCGGGGGCUCAACCCCCGGACUGCUCUGGAAACUGUACGGCUGGAGUGCAGGAGAGGGAGGUAGAAUUCCUGGUGUAGCGGUGAAAUGCGUAGAUAUUAGGAGGAACACCGGUGGCGAAGGCGGCUUACUGGACUGUGACUGACGCUGAGGCUCGAAAGCGUGGGGAGCAAACAGGAUUAGAUACCCGAGUAGUC
Molecule: ribosomal RNA, 440 nt
Filed under: uncultured bacterium
Lineage: Bacteria
Description: partial 16S ribosomal RNA
Rfam family: Bacterial small subunit ribosomal RNA
Source: RNAcentral